Long non-coding RNA from Oreochromis aureus, 3612 nucleotides. The record is from Ensembl. NCBI's taxonomy places the organism in Eukaryota, Metazoa, Chordata, Actinopteri, Cichliformes, Cichlidae.
UCGGAAGGUUGCCGGUUUGAACCCCGGCUCUGACAGUCUCGGUCGUUGUGUCCUUGGGCAAGAUACUUCACCCGUUACCUGGUGGUGGUCAGAGGGCCCGGUAGCGCCAGUGUCUGGUAGCCUCACCUCUGUCAGUGCGCCCCAGGGCAGCUGUGACUACAAUGUAGCUUACCAUCACCAGUGUGUGAGUGUGUGUGAAUGGUUGGAUGACUGGAUGUGUAAAGCGCUAUACAAAUACAGGCCAUUUACCAUCAAAUAAAUAUCCAUGUAGAAUUGUUCAAAGUGACCAUUAUGUUCAUAGAUGUUAAAAAUACCUGAAAAUAAGAUGAGUUCAGUGACAGUUAGUGUUUGUUGUAAUCAAUUUAUUAAUAACAAAACACUUUUAAACUAAUGCAACACAUAUAACAAUGUCACAAAAUAUUCAAAUAAAUACAUUUCUUAAUGCAUAACUGAUUUUGGAACUGAUCUUUCAAGAAGUGAAAUCAGUCUGUCCAUCCUCUCCCUGAUCAAAUCGAUCGAUUCGGGACCUCGUGAAUCUGAAUUGAAUCGAUUCUAGAAACAGUUAUAGCGUGAUGACUGGCAGGAGAAGAUCUCACCCUGUGUUUCUCUGCCUGUGGUAGAGGUGGAACCAGAUCAAGUGGCGCUCAUUCUUGAACAGCCUCAAGUCAGAGCUGCCUCCUCUCAUCAGGUGAAACGGACUUCAGUGAGAACACCUGAGCAGCAGGAGCCCCACUUCACAGACUGCAGACUGUACCUGCGAGACACGAUUUUUCAGGUCAACAUCAGCUGCAGCACACUCACUGUGACGCUUACCCUUCCGCAGCUCUGAUUUGGGACACGAUCCCGGAUUGAAGAACAGGCUGUGUGGUUUGGAUGCUUCACCUCAGCACACUGAGCACAACUGGCACACACACAGGCACAUGUUACACCUCAGUGCAGUCAGUCCAUGUUUUUAUCUAAACAUCUGAUUGAUUAUCUGAGAAAACAGUUCCCGGUGAAGUGUGUGACUUUACAAAACCGUCCCUUUCACUCACUCACAAAUUCACCCCCCCUUACCCUCGUCUCCACCCAACACAUCUCUGUCCUUGUCCUGCUCACUCGCUGUAGCGCGACAGCUCGAGUCGAGGGAUGAUGUUCACGGACUGCAGCUCCUGGUAGAGCAGCUUUCUGGCGUACGGGACACGGCGUACAGGUUCUCUGAGGGAAAAGCAGGGCUCAGGCAGUGUGUGCACAUCAGGCUAACACAUACACAAGGGGCUAAGCAACUUUGAACGACUUUAGAAGCUGUCUUACUUUACUGUUUGUCUUAAAGGUUUAGGAGCUGUGUCUCUAUUUCACUAAGGCCUGCAAUGCUUCAAAUAAAGUACAUUAAUUAACUACAACUACAUUUUUUAAACCACUGAAGAAUGCAGAGAACUGACUAAAGCUCAAUAAUAUUGAGCUCUUAGUGUGUUUUGUCUACUCAGUUUGGUGUCUGCUUCUUUACUUGGUCCACGAUUAUCUCUGCACCAUCUUUCUCCCGUUGUAUCUCUCCUCAUGCCGCACCUUGAUGUGUCCUGUCCUCGGAUGUAUUCUUCCGGCUGCCUCCUGGUUUCCACCUCGAGUUUUAUUAUCCAAAUUUAAUGGUCUUGAUGGUCACUGUAGUGGCUAUAUUCAUUUCUUGAAAGUUCUCUCUUUCGCUUAUAUUUAAUAUAACCACACGACCUGACAAGCGCCUAUUUUUAUGCGUUGUCAACAACGAUGUAAAACCAUCGCGUGUCCGCUUGCUUAUGUGGAAAAUAAACAAGCGGACACGCGAUGGUUUUACAUCGUUGUUGACAACGCAUAAAAAUAGGUGCUUGUCAGGUCGUGUGGUUAUAUUAAAUAUAAGCGAAAGAGAGAACUUUCAAGAAAUGAAUAUAGCCGCUACAGUGACCAUCAAGACCAUUAAAUUUGGAUAAUAAAACUCGAGGUGGAAACCAGGAGGCAGCCGGAAGAAUACAUCCGAGGACAGGACACAUCAAGAGAACCUGUACGCCGUGUCCCGUACGCCAGAAAGCUGCUCUACCAGGAGCUGCAGUCCGUGAACAUCAUCCCUCGACUCGAGCUGUCGCGCUACAGCGAGUGAGCAGGACAAGGACAGAGAUGUGUUGGGUGGAGACGAGGUUGUGCUCAGUGUGCUGAGGUGAAGCAUCCAAACCACACAGCCUGUUCUUCAAUCCGGGAUCGUGUCCCAAAUCAGAGCUGCGGAAGGGUAAGCGUCACAGUGAGUGUGCUGCAGCUGAUGUUGACCUGAAAAAUCGUGUCUCGCAGGUACAGUCUGCAGUCUGUGAAGUGGGGCUCCUGCUGCUCAGGUGUUCUCACUGAAGUCCGUUUCACCUGAUGAGAGGAGGCAGCUCUGACUUGGGGCUGUUCAAGAAUGAGCGCCACUUGAUCUGGUUCCACCUCUACCACAGGCAGAGAAACACAGGCCUGGACUCUUUGUUGGCCAGACAAAAUCAGAAACGGAAAUCAUUGGUUUUUACAACUGGGUCCAGUUCCACCUGCAUAGGAUAUGAGGCCAGGGAGCAUGAUUUGGGUGGGGAUCCAAAUCAGUGUGGAGCACAAUACACCAUAGAGAUGUACAACUCUCCUGUUGAACACCUCAAGACUGAAGACUGCAAGGAAAGAACGCUAAUGUACACCGAGCAUCUGAAGAACAACAUGCAAGUGCUCAAACACAUUGGAUCCAAAACCUGUUCCAGUUCCUCAGACACCAUCAGAGACUGUUUUGAAAGCCCUCUACUAUCAAUCUGGAUAAAAAGAAACUUUGCCAACCACUGCAAGUAUCAAGUGUUUUAAAUUUUGUUGGUUGGUUGUAUUAAGUUUGAUAAUAAUUAGAUCAGUGCCUUUUUAGUCAUUAAUUUGAUUAUUAAAUAUUAACUGUUUAGGGCAGCACGGUGGCACGGUGGUUAGCACUGUUGCUGCACAGCAAGAAGGUCCUGAGUUCAAUUCCACCAUCAGGCCGGGGUCUUUCUUUGUGGAGUUUGCAUGGUUAAUUGAUUAAUCCAAAUUGCAUAGGUGUAAAUGUGAGUGCGAAUGGUUGUCUGUCCCUGUGUGUUAGCCCUGUGACAGACUGGUGACCUGUCCAGGGUGUACCCCGCCUCUCGCCCCAUGAAAGCUGGGAUAGGCUCCAGCGCGACCCUGAAAAAGGAUAAGUGGAAGCGGAUGGAUAUUAACUGUUUAAUUUAAUCAUUGUCUCUACUGGUUUUUAUUAAUGUUUCUAGCAAAUUAUGACAAAUUUUAAAACAAUUUUAUUCUAUUCUAAUUUUUCUAUUAGCCCUAUUAUGUUUAUUACCUCAUUUGUUGGACCUUAAUCUUUUUAGACGACAUUCUGGCUGCAACAGCUGCCAAUAUUUUCAUGUAAAUAUGAACUUUUGAAUAAAAAGGCAUGUCUUGUAUUAUACAGCUCUUCUGUGCUUUGUCAAUAGGAGAUGGUAAACAAGCUUAUUAAAAUGUAUUUUAACUGGUUUACUUUAUAAUAGUUUUUUAUUUCAGUGUAAUAAUUGUACAAAAACCAAAGUUCACUGUGAAUUUUACAUUUAUCAACAAGUAUACCGUUAUGUAUUCUGCAUUAUCACUAUAUUUUCCACG